Molecule: small RNA, 123 nt
Filed under: Caenorhabditis brenneri
Lineage: Eukaryota; Metazoa; Nematoda; Chromadorea; Rhabditida; Rhabditidae
Description: sRNA CBN34347
Source: RNAcentral
UUUUGAAGCGAGUUAUGCGCCUUUGAAGUUGGAGGUGAGACGCCAGACAAAGAGACAGUCAAGCUUCUCUGCGUCUCUCGCUCUCUCACCUCCAACUUCAAAGGCGCAUAGCUCGCUGAAAAU